AAUAAGCAUUUAAAGUGCGUUGGCAGAGUGCAGAGCGGACACAAUCCUGUUUAUCAAAGCGAAUGAUGCCAAUCAUGUCAUCUUCAGCAAAACGCUCCAAUGCAUCGCUAAGACCGGAUUUCACACCGCGCGGUAGAUCGCAUUGGGUAAUAUCGCCAUUCACGAUAACGGUGACAUUCUCACCGAGGCGGGUC
Molecule: antisense RNA, 194 nt
Filed under: Yersinia enterocolitica LC20
Lineage: Bacteria; Pseudomonadati; Pseudomonadota; Gammaproteobacteria; Enterobacterales; Yersiniaceae
Description: Yersinia sRNA 251
Rfam family: Yersinia sRNA 251
About the family: Antisense to phoH gene. Trimmed on 5'end from the original size.
Source: Rfam by way of RNAcentral